Molecule: long non-coding RNA, 992 nt
Filed under: Salvia miltiorrhiza (redroot sage)
Lineage: Eukaryota; Viridiplantae; Streptophyta; Magnoliopsida; Lamiales; Lamiaceae
Description: long non-coding RNA (SMIL_LNC006209)
Source: RNAcentral
AAAUUUCUCUCCUAUCGUUGGCGUCUCUAUCGCGUACAACACCAUAUAAUAAGGGUUAGAACUGUUUACUACCUCAAUGUGACAAAAUCGCACUAAAUUCCCUCCACUACUUAGCGGACGCUAACUUUUUUUUAUUAAGGUGGGCCCCAGCUCUCUCGCUCCUUGAGUUUGCUUGCUCAGAUCUGGUGCCUCACCGCCCCUCUUCCCUCUUUCCUCUGCUCUCCGGUGACCGUCGCUGCCUACCGCCCUAAAUUUGCUGACACCGCAAUGAAGCCACGACCGCAGUGAACCCGCCGCCUCCCUCUCUCCGUAUCAUCUUCAAUGGCGGAGCAAACCACCGCCACCGCCACUGACGCCAGUUCUGCAACCUCAGCUCCGCCGGCAGGUUUGCCGAAGGAGGUGACCGCUGGGUGUGGCAAAGGACGGAACCCUCGGAACUGAGGCAACUCAAGGAGAGAGAGAGAGUUGGGGCCAUCUUAAUUAAAAAUAAAAAAAAUAUUUAUUCUAAUGGUGUUAAGCUCCGUUAAGUAGCGGGGGGGAUUUAGUGCGAUUUUGCCACGUUGAGGUUGACUCUAACUCUGACUAUAGGGUGCUGUAUGUGAUAGAGACGAGUUUAAAUUUAUUUAAUGCCACUUAUCUUAGGGCUAUUUGCAAAAAUAGGCCACUAUUUUUCGGACUUGCAAAAAUAGGCCAAUUAUUUUAGUUUUUUGGUAUUUUUAGGCUCCAUGUGUACUCAAUCAGGCUAUUUUGGGUCACAUUUUAACCCCAAAAAAUGGCCUAUAAAUGCUGAAUUGAGCUCAAAUGUGGCCUAAAAAUGCCAAAAACUAAAAUAAUUGGCCUAUUUUUGCAAAUAGCCCUAAGACAAUGGCCUUAAAUAAUUUUAAACUCGAUAGAGACACCAAUAAUAAGGGAAAUUUGGUACUUAAUCCUUAUUUUAAGUACUACUUUUAUUUAAUCCAUCGAUCAUCUACAUGUGCACAACAUAUUGAAAG